GACGAACGCUGGCGGCGUGCUUAACACAUGCAAGUCGAACGGUAAGGCCCUUCGGGGUACAUGAGUGGCGAACGGGUGAGUAACACGUGGGUGAUCUGCCCUGCACUUCGGGAUAAGCCUGGGAAACUGGGUCUAAUACCGGAUAGGACCCUGGGAUGCAUGUCCUGGGGUGGAAAGCUUUUGCGGUGUGGGAUGGGCCCGCGGCCUAUCAGCUUGUUGGUGGGGUGAUGGCCUACCAAGGCGACGACGGGUAGCCGGCCUGAGAGGGUGACCGGCCACACUGGGACUGAGAUACGGCCCAGACUCCUACGGGAGGCAGCAGUGGGGAAUAUUGCACAAUGGGCGCAAGCCUGAUGCAACGACGCGCGUGAGGGAUGACGGCCUUCGGGUUGUAAACCUCUUUCAGCACCGACGAAGCGCAAGUGACGGUAGGUGCAGAAGAAGGACCGGCCAACUACGUGCCAGCCGCCGCCGUAA
RNAcentral lists this ribosomal RNA (477 nucleotides) under uncultured bacterium. Its description in RNAcentral is "partial 16S ribosomal RNA". It matches the Rfam family "Bacterial small subunit ribosomal RNA", at positions 28 to 523 of the family's 1533-position model. The record is from RNAcentral.